This 235-nucleotide ribosomal RNA is filed under the name uncultured bacterium. RNAcentral describes it as "partial 16S ribosomal RNA". It matches the Rfam family "Bacterial small subunit ribosomal RNA", at positions 99 to 334 of the family's 1533-position model. The record is from RNAcentral.
CGGACGGGUGAGUAACGCGUGGGUAACCUACCCUGUACACAUGGAUAACAUACCGAAAGGUAUGCUAAUACGGGAUAAUAUAUUUGAGAGGCAUCUCUUGAAUAUCAAAGGUGAGCCAGUACAGGAUGGACCCGCGUCUGAUUAGCUAGUUGGUAAGGUAACGGCUUACCAAGGCGACGAUCAGUAGCCGACCUGAGAGGGUGAUCGGCCACAUUGGAACUGAGACACGGUCCAA